Molecule: unclassified non-coding RNA, 414 nt
Filed under: plant metagenome
Description: partial contains small subunit ribosomal RNA, internal transcribed spacer 1, and 5.8S ribosomal RNA
Source: RNAcentral
UUUCCGUAGGUGAACCUGCGGAAGGAUCAUUAACACUAAUUAAUGAGUCCAAACCAUUGGAUUUCAACCAACCAUUGUACGAACCUAUUCUAUUCGGUUGUGGGAGGGAGAGGAGUAGACUCAUGCGCUUUUUUUCUCUCUUGUUGGUUCUUCUGUGGCGCUCAAGUAUCUCGAGUGAGGGUAAUACUUCUUCCUUGGGGUUUGGGUUGCUCUGGAGAGCGGCAAAGAGUUAGAGAGGUAUGUGGGUUUUUCCCCCCCUUCCUGCAGCUAGUCCCUUUUAAUUUUCUCUUAAAACGAUAUUGAAUCUAACUGACUAAAAACAUUUGUUUCCUUUUGUAUUCCUUAAUUGGAACAACAAAAAAAGCAAUAAGAAUAAACGCGAAACAACUCUUAACAACGGAUAUCUUGGCUCUC